RNAcentral lists this non-coding RNA (324 nucleotides) under Opisthocomus hoazin. RNAcentral's name for it is "Eukaryotic large subunit ribosomal RNA". It matches the Rfam family "Eukaryotic large subunit ribosomal RNA", at positions 675 to 954 of the family's 3401-position model. The record is from Rfam by way of RNAcentral. Lineage: Eukaryota; Metazoa; Chordata; Aves; Opisthocomiformes; Opisthocomidae.
CUAACAUGUGUGCUAGUCAGGGGCCCGUUCCGAAAACCAGCGGUGCAAUGAAGGUAAGGGCCAGCGCGCACCAGCUGAGGUGGGAUCCCAGGGGGUGGUCGAGCGAGAAGCCCUGGGCACACCACCAGCCAUCUUGCCCGUGCCGCCUGGCCGGGGAGGUGGAGCGUGAGUGUCCUUGCUAGGACCCGAAAGAUGGUGAACUGUGCCUGGGCAGGGCGAAGCCAGAGGAAAUUCUGGUGGAGGUCUGUAGCGGUCCUGACGUGCAAAUCUGUCAUCCGACCCAGGUCUAGGGGCAAAAGACUAAUCGAACCAUCUGGUAGCUGC